UUCCUCUUUUUUGCCCUCAAAAAUCAAGCCUAAGUAAAAAACGGCACGAAAGGCCCUAUAAACUCAAUUUUCAUUUAUAGGGCCCGUUAUUAGGUUUGCCAGAAAAGUCCUACGUGGCAGAAUCAGGUGGUUAGAUGGACCCCGCCAACCCCGACCACCACUCCAGUAGUAACAAGUCUCGCCGAAACAAAAAAGCCACUGCCAAAGAGGAAAUCCUGCUAUUGGGGAGUACAUAUAAUGAAAUUUAACCAAUAUAGGGUUCUAAUUUUGAGCCCUAAGCUUCAUUAAUCUAAAAUGAUCUGGAGGAUUUCUGGCCUCUUCUGGGCUUUCGAUUCAGGUAUUAUAAUCAAUUGUGCAUGUGCUUGUUGAUAGUAAUUUUUAUUGUUUUCUGAAUGAUGCUAUGCACUUUUCGAAGUUGGAUCUUUGGAAUAUGAGUUUCAUUAGUCAUUUGGUUUUUUAACUUAGGUUUUAACGGAGCAUUGAGUUUCACUUUUUUGACGUAGUCUCCUAGUUUCCUUUUUUAUUUCCCUUUUUUCUUUGGUGAGGUGGAUAUGGGUUUGAUCAUGGUUAAAUAUUUAUGGUUUUAGCUCUAUUUUUCUUUUCUUGUUAUCAGCUUUUGAUGACUAGGUAUUACUGAUGAAAAGAAGAAACUAAAAAAAAUAAUCUUUUUGCUGGUUAAUGUGGAAAUAAAGAGUAAAAAUAAUCAGUAUCAGUACAAUUGAACAGUUAAUUAUUUUCAUAUUGUAAUUUUUAACAGUGGUAGAGAAGUUCUGAAAUUUCUGGUUUACUUAAUGAAAAAAUGAAUUGUAAAGAAAAUCGUUUCUGUCUAAAUACAGGAUUUAGUAAUUAGUAGUUAUUGAAACUUGAAAUUUUCAUAAGUAAUUAAUAACAAAAAUGCAUUUUCCAAACAAGGAUUUUGUACGAAUGCGAGCUUAAGAAAUUAGCUUAUAAUUUACUUAGAAGCAAGAAAAUCAUAACUUAUCCAAACAGGUUUGGGAAAAAAAAAAAAAAAAGAAAGAAAAAAGAAAAAAAUGUUACUUUUUCUUCUUUGGAAGCUGAGCCAACCAUGCUCAGCACAACUGCAAACAAAGGCUACAAAAACUUAUUGUCAUGUGUAUUUCUGCAAACGGGAUAGUUAAUGACAUUUAAAAUAUAAAAUGAAAUUAUCUUUUUGAGAUGAUAUCCCUAUAUAUUCUUUUAAGAAACAACGAUGGGUACACACAAUGAUAUCCUAAAUUUACCAUCAGAUCUAAAGCAAUUAGAUUAUUGGCAAUUACAACAUGUUAUGUUAAUUUUGGUUGGUACCCCUCCCUCUUCUAAUUUGCUCUAUCAAAAUUGUGUCACUAAUUAAAUAUAAAAAUAAAAAAAAUAAAAAGAAAAAUUAAAGAAAAACAGGUAGAGACGUAAUGAUGGCUAGAGAAUUGUUCAUCAUGGUAAAUGUUCCAUGACAGCUAACUGUUUAGCCAUCAUAGAUGCAUAAAUGAAACAGCAAUGUUUCAUUGUUAGCUGUCAUCGGAAAAUCAAUUUUGUGCUGGUUGCAAGCUGAUGAAAGAAUUUUGAUGUGAACUUUCCCAUAUUACGCCAAAAAAAUGAUUGGGAACUUUAAGUCAAGAAAUAAAUGGCACAUACGUACUCAAUGACUGGCCUUCAACUAUAUACGUCAAUUAUGUUGUUCCAGAGGUUAGUAUCUACAAGGUGUGAAUGGUUACCGACACUAGAUGACAAUUUUUUUUUUUAUAUUUGUUAGAAUGCUUGAGCUUGGUGUAUGGGUAUUGAAUUACUGUCCAACUGUAAACAUUAACAUGUACUGAUAUUGAGGCUAGUCUCUAUUAAGCCGUGCGCUAUAUGUCAGAUUCGUAUGCGACCAGAUUCUGCUUUUAACUUCCCUGAUUCCAUCACGCUCGCUUCUUGAAUCUUAAUACUAUCUUUCAGCAUUUCUUUGCUUUGAUGGAAAAUUUCGUGAUCUAAGAUUUUUCUAGUCUGUUUCAAAAUGGUCGUAUCUGUUCCUGAAGUGCUUCUAACUUACCUGAAUAUGCAAAAGAAUAUUUGAUUAAAUGUGGAGAAAUGCGUUGGUUAACUACUUUGCAACUAUAAGACUGACUUGUAAUGAUUAUAUUGAACAAUAUUUGACAGUAACAAUUUUUCCCACCCAUAGGACCAUGCUCACCUGUGGUGGGAUGUUUUAUCAUAGAGUAUAACCUUGCAGUUAAUUAUUUAUGGAGAGAAAUGUGUCCUUAUUCUGGAUGUAUAUCUAUUCUGUUGCAGGUUCUUGGUGUCAUCGGUUACUUCUAUUUGCUAUCUGGUCCACUAUCUAUCACAAUCAAUUGACUCUGCAAACAUCCCUUGUGCCUGCUCACAUUUCUUCCACAUCUAUGCUAAAAGCUAGCCCACCAAAAAGCGGAAUCUUUAAGCCCAUAGAAAUAUCGCCCGCUGUUAUUCCACAUUCUCAGUUUCCUGGGGAUCCAUUGCCGCCAAUGUAUCCUACUUUUCCACCAACCUAUGAUCCUGUCUUAACUGGAAGGUGUCCUGUGAAUUUCUCUGCCAUCUCAAAUAUCAUGGACAAAACAGCUUCUGAUUGUAAUCGAAUCUUUGCACCUGUACUAGGAAAUGUUAUAUGCUGCCCACAGUUCAGUAGCUUGCUCCACAUAUUCCAGGGAUUCUAUAGCAAUAGCUCUGAUAAUUUAGUUUUACUAAAUGCAGUUGCUGAUGAUUGUUUUAAAGACAUCAUCAAUAUAUUAGCCAGCAGAGGAGCGAAUGGCUCGAUACCUGCCAUCUGCUCUGUAAAGUCUUCAAAUCUCACAGGUGGCUCUUGCCCUGUGAAAGACAUAAAUAAUUUCGAGGAAAUAGUGAACACAAGCAAAUUACUGGAGGCUUGCACCACAGUCGAUCCACUUAAAGAAUGCUGCAGACCAAUUUGUCAGCCUGCAAUUAUAGAAGCUUCACUUAAGCUAUCGGGGACACAAUCAUUUGUGAAUAAUGAUACGAAUCAUCUCAACAUGCUUAAUGAUUGUAAAGGGGUGGUGUAUUCAUGGAUGUCUAGGACACUUCCACACGAUGCUGCUAAUACAGCAUAUCGGAUAUUGUCUGCCUGCAAAGUUAACAAAGGUGUGGUUUAUUGGUACUUCUUUUUUGUGUGUUUGAGAAUAUUUUAUGCUCCUUUCACUUUCUUUACUCACCAUAUCUUUCCCUUUAUUGUACCUCCAACCAUAAUUUCAUGUAAUCUCACAGGAUUUAGACAUUCAUCAAAACCUUUUUCUUCUUAAGUUAUGGAUUAUAUCUGAUGCGUCAAUUGUAGUGGGAUAACAUGAUAAGAAAAUUGUACAUACAUCACCAGGGCAUUGAUCUGGAAGUGUUUAAAAAUUACUAUUAUUAUUGCUUUUGAAAUUAUAAUUUCUCGUUGACGAUGUUACUUUACUUGCUGAAACAUCAUGCUGAUCUAAAUUCUCCUCUACUUCUUAAUUAUGUUUAACCAUUUCUGUAGUUUCCUUCCUAAAUACGAAUGAAGAGAGAAACUUGUCAGCUUUGGUACAUAUCCCCUUUAUAGUUCUGUUUAUAUAUUCUAUUAGGUUUUAAAUAGUUGCCUUCUUGAAUGUAGCUUGUCCAUUGGAUUUAAAGCAGCCAUCAGAAGUGAUUGUAGCAUGUAAAAAUGUAGCUGCUUCAAGCCCUUCAUGUUGUAGCUCAUUAAAUACUUACAUUGCGGGAAUACAAAAGCAAAUGUUGAUAACAAAUCGCCAAGCAAUAAUCUGCGCAGCAAGGUUGGGGUCCAUGCUACAGAAGGGUGGUGUGAUGACCAAUAUUUUUGAGCUUUGUGACGUGGACUUGAAAGAUUUUAGUCUCCAAAGUAUGUGUUUCAAUGGAGGUGUCAUUCUAGAAUCUUUUAUUUGAAGUUAUUACUUUCCUGGUUCUAAUUUUUCUCUCUUUUGUGUUGUUGCUGGAGCAGCUGAUGGACAACAAGGUCAUUUUUUCCCUCCACUUUUAUAUUUACUUCUAAGUUUUAUCUGAUCUUCUUUCCUUAUGUAUAGGUUUUCUAUUACAACUUACAAGCUAUUUAGUAAUUUGAGACUUUCAAUUAUAGAUUAUGUCUCUCUAGGGCAUAAAAAGGAUAUUAUGGGAUUCUUUUGAACUGAGAGUCAUGGCUUUAUAUGGGUUAAAGCAAUCACCAAGGGCAUGGUUUGGGAUGUUUCCUGAAGUUAUGGAAUUUGGUCUUCAGAUGUAUCAGAUAGGUCAUUCAGUAAUUCAUUUAUAAACUCGUGCAGGCCAUGUUAUCCUUGUAGUUUAUGUAGAUGAUAUUGUAAUCACUGGCAAUAAUGUAGAUGGGAUUGUCUAGUUGAAACAGUUUCUACAAAAACACUUCCAGACCAAAGAUCUAGGCAAGCUUCAACAUUUUUUGGGUAUUGAAAUUGCUAGGUCUCGAGCAAGUAUCAUCUUAUAGAGAAAAUAUGUACUUGAUCUGUUAGAUGAAACGGGAUUUCUUGGAACUCGUCCAGUAGAUACUCCUAUGAAUCCAAAUGUAAAGCUUUUAGAGGAUGGAGGAGAACCGUUUAAGGAACCAGGAAAAUAUCGUCGUUUGGUUGGGAAGUUGACUAUUACACGACUAGAUAUUUCAUAUGCAGUUAGCGUUAUUAGUCAGUUCUUGGAUGGUCCUCGAAUUUUUCAUUGGGAAGUUGUGAUACAUAUUAUUUGGUAUCUGGAAAAGGUUCUAGGUCUUGGAUUAUUGUAUAAACCAAAUGGACAUAUCAAAGUAGAAGGAUUUAAGAUGCAAAUUGGAUAGGAUCUCCAUCAGAUAGAUGAUCCACUACUGGUUUCCGUACUUUUUUCGAUGGAAACCUUGUCUCUUGGAAUAGUAAGAAACAAAUCAUAGUAGCGAGGUCAAAUGUAGAAGCAAAAUAUAAGGCAAUAGCUCAUACUGCUAGUGAGUUGACAUGGUUGCAGCACUUUCUUCAAGAAAUCAAUCUCUCACCUUCUAUCCCUAUUCCAAUGCUAUGUGGUAAUCGGGCUACUCUACAUAUUGCAUCCAAUUUAGUCUUCCAUGAAAGGACCAAAAACAUUGAAGUUGAUUGUCACUUUGUUCAAGACAAAAUAGUGAAUGGUGAUAUGUGUACACCAUUUGUGAAAACGGGAGAUUAGUUUGCUAAUACAUUUACGAAGUCAUUGAAUGGUAAUUGGUUGAGGUUUCUUUGUUUCAAGCUCGACUUAUAUGAUAUAUAUGCUCCAGCUCUAGGGGGUAUUAAGGAAUAAAUUAAUAAAGGUUCGCGUAGAUUGGGCAUGAUAUAGGUUUAUUGUCUUCCCAUACUUCUACAUAGUUUCCAUAAUUGUAUUCUUGUGUUUCCAUAAUUGUAUUCUUGUUUUCACUAUAUAAUGAAAGUAGAGGGGAGAAAGAAGUUCUACCAUUUUCUCUCCCGUGUUUCUUCAAUUCUUGUCAACAAUUACCAAGAGUAAAGACGCGUACACUAGCUUUUAUGUGUACAUGAUGUUGACGUUUUAUUAAAUUUAUAAGUCUCAUGUCUAAGCAUCUCCAUUUCUAAUAACUUUAAUCUUCAAGAAUGCUACUUUCUGCUGAAAAUCUUUUGCAAUUUCCUACCAUUUUUGGUACAUGGAUUCAAGGAAACUUUUUAGUUUUGAACUGAUGCAGAAUAUCUCCUAUAGAUUUGGAAAGAAUUUAAGGAGUAUUGGUGAAUGAUUGACUAAGUUUUAGCUAAUUGUGAUCUUCACCAGCAUAUCUUUUUCUUCCAAAAGGGAACUAAUUAAAGCAAAAACAUGAUCAGGAUUUGGUUCUAUUGGUCUUGGAGUUUCACGGUGGGAGACUCAGUUAACGAGAAUGUUAAUAGCCAACAGCAUAUUUUUAAUUAUUUACAAUUGAAUGUUGUAUCUUAUGCUUGACUGAGACAUAUCUUCUCAAAUGAGAUUGAGAGGUAGCACUUCUAGGCAUGGUUAAAAAGGGCGGACUUGAGGUUUAGUACAUGUACCUCAGGGCGCUACUUGUAGUGCUUUUAUUUUGAGGCAGCUGCCUCAUUGCAUAAGGCAAGGCACACACCUCAAUUCAAUUGCCUCAUGUGGCGUACGUCUUGCUCAUGUUUUAUUUGAAUUUGAAUUUUUUAUUUCUAUAUUUUGAGUGAUAAAGCCUAAAGGCUUUUAAUUGGGCCCAACUUAAAUAAAAAAAAGGCAAAAAAUUGCCCCUAUCAAAUUUGACUAAACAAUUAAAAAAAACUAAACCCCACUAGCAAUUUGAGUACCCCACCUGAAAGAAGAAGCUUUUCCAAGAUUGCAAGCUGGCAACUGGCCGUUCUAAAACUGCGGGAGGUAUAUAUUAUUAUUAUUUUCUUCUUUCUUUUCUAUAUUUCAUCUCCUUCACGUCUCUCAUUUUAUUUUUAUUUUCCUAAAGUUCUUACACGAGAUAUAACGGUAGGUUCUUAAAACCAGGCAGUAAUGAUGUUAAUUCUUUGGAGAUUUUUUUAAGAUUGAUUGGUUAUGGUUUAUUGGGGGAGAGGAAAUUACAUUUGGUUAACUAGGGUGCAAUUUGUUCUCCAAUAAGGGUGAGAGAUCUCGAAUUGAGGAGUCUUGUAUUAUUUAAUAAAGCCUUGUUGGGUAAGUGGUUGCGGCGACUCGAAGUGGAGAGGAAGAGUUUUUGGAGAGAAAUUAUAAUAACAAUAUACAGUGAGGGGGAUGGUGCUCGAUCGAUGGCCGUUGUGCUUAUGGGGUGAGUUUGUGGGGGUAUAUCCGACAAGGGUGGAGCGAUUUUCGAGAUAGAUUGACUUUUAUAAUGGAGAAUGGUAAUGCUAUUAGUUCUUGAGAUGAUUGUUGGUGUGGAGAGCAACCACUUAUGGUGAGAUUUCUCUCUUUGUAUCGUAUUACUUUGGUGCAGCCUACUACGGUAAAUGAGGUCUUAGAUAUACAUAACUCUCAGUUAGAAGUUAGAACAUUAUUUUUCGAUAGGGUUUGUAGGACUAGAAAGUCGAUGAUUAUGCGCUGCUUCUGACAUCUUUGUAUGAGGUGUAUUUUAGGGUGGAAAAGGGUGAUUGUAGCAGGUGGAGGUUGACACGGGAUGGUAUCUUUUCAGUCGGCACUUAUUUUAGAUUCUUAUUGGAACCGGUGGAGAGUUCAUUCCCGUAGCAGAUAGUAUGGAAAUGCAAAUUGCCUCAAAGCGUGGCAUUUUUGCUGUGGACGGUUGUUAGGAUACAGGUAUUGAUGGUGGAUAAUUUUCGAACAAGGAUUUUUAUGUGACGGAGUGGUGUUGUGUGUGUAGGAGGGACGGGGAGAUGAUUGGCCACUUGUUCCUUCAUUAUAAUGUUACUCGUUUGCUGUGAUAUUCUGGCAUCUCAACACAUAGAUUAAGUGUCGCCGAGGCGUAUAAAAGACGUGUUAAAGGCAUGGAGGAAAAAGUUUCGUAAUAAAUAUUGCAAGCCCGUGGGACCUUAUUCUGGAUUGCAUUGUAUAGAGUGUGUAGAGAAAAAGAAACAGUCGCUAUUUUGAUGAUCAAAUACGGAUAACUGAGCAGAUUAGGGAAUUGUUUUAUUUGACAUUUUAUAUUUGGUUUAAUGUAACGGCUACUAGUCAUAUAGACGGGUUGCCAAAUUUCAUGUUGUUUCUUUCUUGUUUAAAGUAAAUAGUACCCUUCCUAUGUAUUAUCCUUUGAUUAAUACAAUAUUUGAUUACAUUUCAAAAAAUAAUAAUAAUUAUAUUAUCUUAUAAUUUUUUGACUAAGUUUUUGGUUUGUGGUGAGGCUUGCAUCUCAAGGCUUAUGCCUCAUCUCACAAAGUAAAAAUGCCCGAGUACCUAUUUCCACCUUUUUAAGCAUGGCUUCUAGGAUAUUGUUGGUAAAAUAGUAUGUGAUUCUUGCUGAUAUUUUUUCACGUUAACUCAGGUUGUUUGCUUCAUAGCUUGCCAGCAGAUUUGGUUUAUGAUAAGUCAGCUGGCUUAAGCAUUACUUGUGAUUUGAACGACAAUAUUGCAGCUCCAUGGCCUUCAUCAUCUUCUCUCACAUCAUUAUCUCUUUGUGCUCCUGGUAAUGGUUCCAAAGAACUAGAUGUUUAUCUUUUCGAUAAAUACCCAGUAAAGGGUUCGAAAGAUAUAAUGUAAUUGCUGAUGAUCCUUCAAAUACAAAUUCAUAAAUGAAAAUAUUGUGAUGAGAUUUUCAUCAAUUUGCAGAGAUGUCCUUGCCAGCACUGCCAACAUCCGAGACAUUGGGUAAUCUUGGUAAGUGUUUAUUUCGAUAUACAACCUUACUUCCUCUUUUUUGUGUGUGUGCGCGCGUGUGUGUGCACGCGCGCCUUAACCUCCUUGAUUCAAUUUUCAUCACAAACAAUUAUCUGACAAAUUUUGAUCUUGGUUUCCCUUUUUCAUGUUGAACCAGCCUUGUCGAUCUGGUUUUUAAAACAUAGAAAUUGCCUGAUUAAUAUUUUAAUGGGGUAAUAGCUGAUAUGUAUUGUUGUUUCCAAGUUAUGGACCUUAUAAAUUAUUUUCCCCUGCUUUUGUUUGAAGAUUGUGGAGGUUGUUUCUCGUUUAUUGAAUGGCUGAGAUGUCUAAAAACUUAUUUAUUUGUUAUUUUCAGUGGUUAAAAGGCUGAUAUUGUGUUCAUCUCUGAUGCAGGAUAUCGUGGGGGUUGGACGGAUCUCUUUGUACCCAUUCUUUCAUUUUUUGUUUUGGAACAUUAUUGAUCUAGAGAGAUUUUGCAGAGCGCUGGGUUGAUUUUAGUUGAAGGGCUUAGAUUGGCCCUAGAUCAUAUUUACAUGUACACAUUGAAUACAUUCCCUUGCAUAUAUUAGAAGCUAUUUUUGGUCGUCAUUCUUGAUUGGUUUUAUAAGAUGAAUGAUUUUUAGAAUUUUAGGUAGUGCCAUAGGGGUGAUUCAACAAUUAAUUUUAAUCACACAUUUCAAGGGACCUACGACUUUUCAACCAAUCAUUCCAUCAACUUCGAUUAAAAUUUACCAAAAAUCUAAUUUUAAUUCCCACCAAACAGGGGCUAAUUUUAUGUUGUAAAUCAUUGGAAAUUUUGGUAGGAUGUGAGCAUUGUGGAAACGGGGCCGACUUUGCCAUGUCUCCUGGUCACAAGGAGCUUUACUACAAAGUUUCUCUUUCAUUGGGAUGGCUAAUAAUGGAAAUGCAUGGAUUGACUUCAACUGUGAAUCCAGCAGCCAUGUAAAUAUGAGGUUUUGAGUUGGUAGACCACAUUGGUCAUUGCGUUUGUUUUAUAAUUCUAGUUCCUUUUAUACAGUGGAGGACAAAUUCGAAUUUGUUUCUUAAUGGUGUAACUUUCUAUGGUUAUAUUAUCUUACAUGUAAGUACUGGGAGAAAGUUACAAAUUUAUGCAGGGUUUGUUGAUUUGAAUGUAUGCCUAUGGGCAGUUGAGGGAGCUUGUAUGUUCUUUGACACAAUUUAUUGAAAUGAACAAUGGCUUCUUGCAGGAGUCAUUUUUUCUGGGCACUAGCCAUUUUGCUUAGAUUAGGUCCACUUCAAACUGCAAAAUUGUCUAGGUAUGCCAAAUGCCUUUACCGAAGGUAACUGAUAUGAUGAUCGUGUGAGUUGGCUACUUGAAGUUCAUCGUAUCCUGUCAACAUUUCUUGAGAGAGAAGACAAUGCUCAAGGCAAGUUUACAUGCAACUCAAAAGAGACUCAAAAAUUUCUUAAACGUUUGAAAGAGUCUAGGUUGAUUGAUUACUUAUGAACAUUUGAAAUAGAUUUAGAUUUUACGAGGUGGAAGUGUGUAGUUGUGUAUUAUUGAAAAGCAGCAUUUAAAUUUCUGUCUUCUAUGAAUGACUUUUAUCUCCUAAGUGGCACACGUUCUGGGGAACAACUUAAGAACAAAGAAGUUUUUCUUCUUGAUGAAUUUGCUUCGGACAUGUUUUCAUGAUUUUUACCCAAAGAAACUUUAUUUUGUCUCUUAUAGGGAUUUUGAAUCCAAUGGCCGUUGAUGCAAGAGAAAGCUCAUCUCUGAAUCUUGUGCGGAUACAACUGUUUGCAGUUCUUCCAAGAUGCGUCUCUGCACAUUUUCUGUGUCUACCAGAUAUGGGUUCUGAUCUCUUCAUUAAAAUAUUUCCUUCAAUACUAUUUUGCUUAUCGCUUUCUGUCAAGUCCAAUUCUAUCUGAAAAAGAAUGAAAUUUGUCAUUCAUGUCUAUGCAACUAAUCGUUUUCCAUUUUCCCUGGCAUUUGGUGCCAGGCUGAAAUUUUUUUCAGUUACUCCACUCUGCUCGUUCCAUUGUUGCUCAUUGUAGUAUAUUUUCGUCUCUCAAUGCCAAAACAACAUAAAAAAUGAUUAUGUUUUGGUAUUUACACAGAUAUUCCAACUACGAAAAAAUAAAGGGGGUAUUGCUUUGUUCAUAUAAUCUGUUUCUAAUUAUGAUGAUGAUACCAAAUUUUUCUUUCUAAUUGUAAAUACCUCCCUGUAUAGCAAAGUGGCCAAAUUCUGGAAAAUGCUUGUAACGAGGACUAGAAUUGAAAGAGAAGAGGAGACGGGAAAGAGGAAGAAUGACGGAGCAGUUAAAGAGGGAGAAAUUGUAGUUUAUUGAAUAUUAAAGUGGGUUACAAUCAAAGGCCUAUCCAUACUUAUAGUGGGACUUCUAGUAGAUGAGGAAAACUAUUAAACAAAUAGAAGGAAAUAAAAGAUAAUCUCUCGACAUAAAAUAUAAAUUCUCUUCCUAAAGUAAGUGUCUUAGAUUGGUAAGUCAUCAAGGGAAUAUCCAAGAUAAAGACCAUUUGAAGAGGAGAGUGGAAUCUCGAUGAAAUGAGGAUAUGCUCAAGCUGCCCAUUUCUUGAGAGGGUAAACUGCACGAACUUUUCUUUCACUCUUCAUCCCCGUCUCUCCCUCUCUAUGUAGGAUAAUGAUGAGGAUAUAUUGCCCUUGUUUGAGCCCCAUUUUGAGGGAAAAAAUGAAUUUUUGAAUAGUGUAUUGAUGGAAAAUGUGUGGUUAAAAAAUAAGGAAAAGUUUUGAAUUUGCGUGUAAUAUUAUCUUAUUGAAGAAUGUGUGGUUGAAAUGAUGUCAAAACACUGUAGAAGAAUUUAUUUUUUCUAAAGAAUGGGGAUCAAACAAGGGUAUUAUAAAGUAGAAACAUAGUGAGUGACACAUUUUGGCAGGCAAAUAUUGAAUUCCAUUAUCGUAAUUUAUACGGUAAAAAGGAAAAUUUUUAGGUAGAAACUCAAAACGAAGUUUUUUAAUGAUAGAAAAACCUUUUUGCUUUUGGGGCUCGACUUGUCUAGAUAGAGACUUCAAACGGUCUCCAUUUUAACAUUUUGUAUGGUGAACUAGGUCGAAAUAAGGCACUGUGCGACAUAUUGAACUGGCUUAUGUCAUGCCGUGCAAGCUUCUUAAUGAGUUACACAAAAUUGAUUCAAUUUUCUUAUAUUUAGAGUCUAAUUCAAUAUUUUCACCAAAACGGUUGAGGGAGCAAAAUGUACCAUGUGUUAUUUAUAUAUAUUAGAAAGAAGACAAGUGAUGAGUGCAAUAGCACCUCUAAAGCAUAGUUUUCGGUUUGUUCUUGGGCACUUUUGUGCGUUUUGAUGUGUUUGUUUAUGUUGUUCCGUAGUUUAGGUAACGUAGUGAAAACGACAUAUUUUGGAGCUUGGAAUGGAGCUAAAUUGUUGAUCAUGGAAGUGGGCAUGGAGUGAAGAUGAAAGAAGAGAAAAAUAAAGUGGAAAAGAGGCAAGAAAAUGAGGCCAAAUGCAAAGGAAUCAUAUAAGAGCUACAGCGCCGCACGUUGGUGCCUAGGCGCCCAAGAAACGGCCAGAAAAUCAACAGAAACCCCAUCUCGCCUUGAAACGUUAAGGGACUAUAAAAAUAACCUAAAGACCUACUUUUGGAGGAGGAUAUAGCUUAAGAGGCAAGGAAACAAGAGAUUGCUUGAGAGCAAUUGGGAAAAGAAUUCAAGCGCGAAACCAGUUUUUCUCAUUCAUUUCUUUUCCAUGUCCUUAAUAUUAGAUUGGAUUAUGCAUUUUCUCUUAUUCAUUAACUAAUUUCUAGAUCUAGGGUUUGAUGUAACCUAACUUGGAAUAUGU
RNAcentral lists this long non-coding RNA (11986 nucleotides) under Olea europaea subsp. europaea. Lineage: Eukaryota; Viridiplantae; Streptophyta; Magnoliopsida; Lamiales; Oleaceae. The record is from RNAcentral.